This 107-nucleotide small nuclear RNA is filed under the name Sus scrofa (pig). The record is from RNAcentral. Lineage: Eukaryota; Metazoa; Chordata; Mammalia; Artiodactyla; Suidae.
GUGCUCGCUUUGGCAGCACAUCUGCUAAAACUGGAAUGAUACAGAGAAGAUUAAUACGGCUCCCAUGCAAGGAUGAUAUGCAAAUUUGUGAAGCAUUCCAUAUUUUU